AGUGGUUGCACGACGGGGUAGUGACCGGCAGUGACCCGAACAUAAUGUGGGCUAUCUUGCGGUGACCCGAACGUACUGUGGGCCACAAUCAUCGUGUGACAACCGGCAGUGGCCCGAGCGUACUGGGGCUGUCGCGCGGUGACCCGAAUGUACUGUGGGCCGCGUUCGGUUGAAAGUUCCUUCUUCUAGCCUAUGUGGUAAGGAGAUAGGAUAUUGCCGAGGAUAGAGGAGGAACAC
This 237-nucleotide long non-coding RNA is filed under the name Brassica napus (rape). RNAcentral describes it as "long non-coding RNA (BNAP_LNC011644)". Lineage: Eukaryota; Viridiplantae; Streptophyta; Magnoliopsida; Brassicales; Brassicaceae. The record is from RNAcentral.